Molecule: ribosomal RNA, 216 nt
Filed under: Glomeromycotina sp.
Lineage: Eukaryota; Fungi; Glomeromycota
Description: partial small subunit ribosomal RNA
Rfam family: Eukaryotic small subunit ribosomal RNA (bases 40-216)
Source: RNAcentral
GGGUCAGUAGGUUGGUCGUGCCACCGGUACGUACUGGUCUCACUGAUUCCUCCUUCCUGAAGAACCGUAAUGCCAUUAAUUUGGUGUUGCGGGGAAACAGGACCGUUACUUUGAAAAAAUUAGAGUGUUUAAAGCAAGCUAACGCUUGAAUACAUUAGCAUGGAAUAAUGGAAUAGGACGAUCGAUCCUAUUUUGUUGGUUUCUAGGAUUGACGUA